AACGAACGCUGGCGGCAUGCCUAACACAUGCAAGUCGAACGAGACCUUCGGGUCUAGUGGCGCACGGGUGCGUAACGCGUGGGAACCUGCCCUUAGGUUCGGAAUAACUCCCCGAAAGGGGUGCUAAUACCGGAUAAUGUCUUCGGACCAAAGAUUUAUCGCCUUUGGAUGGGCCCGCGUUGGAUUAGCUAGUUGGUAGGGUAAAAGCCUACCAAGGCGACGAUCCAUAGCUGGUCUGAGAGGAUGAUCAGCCACACUGGGACUGAGACACGGCCCAGACUCCUACGGGAGGCAGCAGUUGGGAAUAUUGGACAAUGGGCGAAAGCCUGAUCCAGCAAUGCCGCGUGAGUGAUGAAGGCCUUAGGGUUGUAAAGCUCUUUUACCCGGGAUGAUAAUGACAGUACCGGGAGAAUAAGCUCCGGCUAACUCCGUG
This 433-nucleotide ribosomal RNA is filed under the name uncultured bacterium. RNAcentral's name for it is "partial 16S ribosomal RNA". It matches the Rfam family "Bacterial small subunit ribosomal RNA", at positions 29 to 507 of the family's 1533-position model. The record is from RNAcentral.